Molecule: transfer RNA, 70 nt
Filed under: Camelus bactrianus (Bactrian camel)
Lineage: Eukaryota; Metazoa; Chordata; Mammalia; Artiodactyla; Camelidae
Also listed under: 2 other names
Rfam family: tRNA
About the family: Transfer RNA (tRNA) molecules are approximately 80 nucleotides in length. Their secondary structure includes four short double-helical elements and three loops (D, anti-codon, and T loops). Further hydrogen bonds mediate the characteristic L-shaped molecular structure. tRNAs have two regions of fundamental functional importance: the anti-codon, which is responsible for specific mRNA codon recognition, and the 3' end, to which the tRNAs corresponding amino acid is attached (by aminoacyl-tRNA synthetases). tRNAs cope with the degeneracy of the genetic code in two manners: having more than one tRNA (with a specific anti-codon) for a particular amino acid; and 'wobble' base-pairing, i.e. permitting non-standard base-pairing at the 3rd anti-codon position.
Source: Rfam by way of RNAcentral
GAGGGAGUGGCUCAGUGGCAGAGCACGUGCUCAGCAUGCAUGAGGUCCUGGGUUCAGUCCCAGUCCCUCC